UUGUGGUGCGACGGAUCGGUCCGACCUUUGGUGGGUACUCGAUGUUGUCGCGCCAUCCUUGAGUGGUUCGUCCUGGCAUUAAGUUGUCGGGGCGGCAGCCGCUCAUCAUUUACUGUGAGAAAAUUAGAGUGUUCAAAGCAGGCUUAUGCCGUUGAAUAUACUAGCAUGGAAUAAUAAGAUAGGACCUCGGUACUAUUUUGUUGGUUUGAGAACCAAGGUAAUGAUCAAUAGGGACAGUUGGGGGUAUUCGUAUUCAGUUGUCAGAGGUGAAAUUCUUAGAUUUACGGAAGACGAACUACUGCGAAAGCAUUUACCAAGGAUGUUUUCAUUAAUCAAGAACGAAAGUAUGGGGAUCGAAGAUGAUUAGAUACCAUCGUAGUCUAUACCAUAAACUAUGCCGACUCAGGAUGGGCGGGUGCCACUCUGGCCUCGUCUGC
Molecule: ribosomal RNA, 437 nt
Filed under: Chaetoceros muelleri
Lineage: Eukaryota; Bacillariophyta; Thalassiosirophyceae; Chaetocerotales; Chaetocerotaceae
Description: SSU rRNA
Rfam family: Eukaryotic small subunit ribosomal RNA
Source: RNAcentral